This is a non-coding RNA of Ciona savignyi (Pacific transparent sea squirt), 67 nucleotides long. The record is from Rfam. Lineage: Eukaryota; Metazoa; Chordata; Ascidiacea; Phlebobranchia; Cionidae.
GGCCGGUUAGCUCAGUUGGUUAGAGCGUCGUGCUAAUAACGCGAAUGUCGCGGGUUCGAUCCACGUA